UACGUAGGUGGCAAGCGUUGUCCGGAUUUAUUGGGUUUAAAGGGUGCGUAGGCGGCCCUGUAAGUCAGUUGUGAAAUACGGCAGCUUAACUGUCGAGGUGCAAUUGAUACUGCAGGGCUUGAGUACUGAUGAGGUAGGCGGAAUGGACGGUGUAGCGGUGAAAUGCUUAGAGAUCGUCCAGAACACCGAUGGCGAAGGCAGCUUACUAAGGAGUAACUGACGCUGAGGCACGAAAGUGUGGGGAUCAAACAGG
RNAcentral lists this ribosomal RNA (253 nucleotides) under uncultured bacterium. Its description in RNAcentral is "partial 16S ribosomal RNA". It matches the Rfam family "Bacterial small subunit ribosomal RNA", at positions 524 to 776 of the family's 1533-position model. The record is from RNAcentral.